This 157-nucleotide non-coding RNA is filed under the name Streptomyces sp. MnatMP-M17. Its description in RNAcentral is "Streptomyces sRNA scr5239". It matches the Rfam family "Streptomyces sRNA scr5239". Rfam says of the family: It inhibits agarase DagA expression by direct base pairing to the dagA coding region, and it represses translation of methionine synthase metE (SCO0985) at the 5' end of its open reading frame. The record is from Rfam by way of RNAcentral. Lineage: Bacteria; Bacillati; Actinomycetota; Actinomycetes; Kitasatosporales; Streptomycetaceae.
CCUCCACUCUCCCCGCACAGGAGGGUGGACCGAGGUGCCGGCGCUCUCUGCCCUGACUGCGGCGGAACCUCUCCCACGGCCGAACGGGACCGCACACCCGUCGGCCGAGCAACUCCGGGCUGCGGUGCCGGACGGGUUGAGGGUCCCGUCGCGGCGC